This 942-nucleotide ribosomal RNA is filed under the name uncultured Bacteroidota bacterium. RNAcentral describes it as "bacterial SSU rRNA". It matches the Rfam family "Bacterial small subunit ribosomal RNA", at positions 48 to 989 of the family's 1533-position model. The record is from RNAcentral. Lineage: Bacteria; Pseudomonadati; Bacteroidota.
CCUAUACAUGCAAGUCGAGGGUGACUAUCGGAUUCGUCUGAUAUGAAACCGGCGCACGCGGUGCGUAACACGUAUGCAACCUACCUUUAACUGGGGUAUAGCUCAGAGAAAUCUGAAUUAAUCCCCCAUAACACUACGACAUGGCAUCAUGAUGUAGUUAAAGCUCCGGCGGUUAAGGAUGGGCAUGCGGUACAUUAGCUAGUUGGUGAGGUAAUGGCUCACCAAGGCUACGAUGUAUAGGGGGUCUGAGAGGAUGAUCCCCCACACUGGUACUGAGACACGGACCAGACUCCUACGGGAGGCAGCAGUAGGGAAUAUUGGUCAAUGGACGAAAGUCUGAACCAGCCAUGCCGCGUGAAGGAUGAAGGCCCUCUGGGUCGUAAACUUCUUUUAUUAGGGAAGAAACCUCAGGAUGCGUCCUGAGCUGACGGUACUUAAUGAAUAAGGAUCGGCUAACUUCGUGCCAGCAGCCGCGGUAAGACGAAGGAUCCAAGCGUUGUCCGGAUUUACUGGGUUUAAAGGGUGCGUAGGCGGAAAAUUAAGUCAGUGGUGAAAGCCCGCAGCUCAACUGUGGAACUGCCAUUGAAACUGGUUUUCUUGAAUAUAGCUGAGGCAGAUGGAAUAUAACAUGUAGCGGUGAAAUGCUUAGAUAUGUUAUAGAACACCGAUUGCGAAGGCAGUCUGCUAAACUAUUAUUGACGCUGAGGCACGAAAGCGUGGGGAGCGAACAGGAUUAGAUACCCUGGUAGUCCACGCCCUAAACGUUGAUUACUCGCUGUUGGCGAUAUACUGUCAGUGGCUAAGCGAAAGCAUUAAGUAAUCCACCUGGGAAGUACGACCGCAAGGUUGAAACUCAAAGGAAUUGACGGGGGCCCGCACAAGCGGAGGAGCAUGUGGUUUAAUUCGAUGAUACGCGAGAAACCUUACCUGGGCUUAAAUGUC